RNAcentral lists this transfer RNA (75 nucleotides) under Planctomycetota bacterium. RNAcentral describes it as "Planctomycetes bacterium tRNA-Pro". It matches the Rfam family "tRNA". From Rfam's summary of the family: Transfer RNA (tRNA) molecules are approximately 80 nucleotides in length. Their secondary structure includes four short double-helical elements and three loops (D, anti-codon, and T loops). Further hydrogen bonds mediate the characteristic L-shaped molecular structure. tRNAs have two regions of fundamental functional importance: the anti-codon, which is responsible for specific mRNA codon recognition, and the 3' end, to which the tRNAs corresponding amino acid is attached (by aminoacyl-tRNA synthetases). tRNAs cope with the degeneracy of the genetic code in two manners: having more than one tRNA (with a specific anti-codon) for a particular amino acid; and 'wobble' base-pairing, i.e. permitting non-standard base-pairing at the 3rd anti-codon position. The record is from RNAcentral. Lineage: Bacteria; Pseudomonadati; Planctomycetota.
CGGGGCGUAGCUCAGUCUGGUUAGAGCGCGUGGUUUGGGACCACGAGGUCGCAAGUUCGAAUCUUGUCGCCCCGA